Long non-coding RNA from Suricata suricatta (meerkat), 472 nucleotides. RefSeq lists it as uncharacterized. Lineage: Eukaryota; Metazoa; Chordata; Mammalia; Carnivora; Herpestidae. The transcript is spliced from 2 exons. The record is from RefSeq and is a predicted model, not a curated record.
CGUAAGGUUUUGAGAGAAACACCGCAGAGAAGGUGAGAUGCUGCGGCAGGAGCCCCCAGUGCCCUGCCCAGGAGCCUCCUCAUCCCCUGCGGAAGUCUUCCCGGCUGGACCCUGUGGGGAUGGUUCCUGCCCCAUGCGGCAGAGAUUCAAGGGAAAGGAGGGCAAAGAGCAUAAAUGUACCGCCAAGGGCUACCUGGCUGGUUUGUGCAGUGAGGCUUAUCUGCUCAACCCCAUCCAGCAGAAUUCAAUUUCCACAUCUUCAAAAUGGGUGCCAAUCCAACGUGGGGGUCCUGCAAAUGAAGAGCGAGGAAAGGAAAGGGAGAGAGCGAUGUGUAGAUUUGAGAUCUACAAGACACAUGCGUCAAUGGCUAACGGGUAAGAGGAUUCUUUCUCGGGGUCAUAAAAAUGUUCUGAAAUUGUAAUACAAUGAGGGUUUCACAACCCCUUAGUAAACGUUGAUUUGUACACUUUA